Long non-coding RNA from Notothenia coriiceps (black rockcod), 884 nucleotides. RefSeq lists it as uncharacterized. The record is from RefSeq and is a predicted model, not a curated record. Lineage: Eukaryota; Metazoa; Chordata; Actinopteri; Perciformes; Nototheniidae. The transcript has 4 exons.
UGUGAGUCCGUAUUCUGGAGAGGAGAGAGCUACCUAACUGGCAAAUUGGAGAAGAAAAGAAGGGGGGAAAUCCACUGAAGGGGGAUAUCGAGGAAAAUAACCCAUAAUCAGGUCUCUGUGGCAUUGAGUUUCAACUCUCAGAGCUUUGGGAGAGGGGUCUGAAAGUUUCCGUCCGGGGGGGACACCCUCCCCUUGUUGUGGGGAUGAACAGCGGAUGCUGAAUUUCAUUCCUGAAGGCAGCAGGAGAUCUGUGAAUACCGGCUGGAUUCACUUGCAGUGGAGCUGGUAGUGCGCACUAGAAGAGAUCCUAGAGUGCCUCUUUCUCUCUCGCACACGCAUUUUCCAGAAGAAUACAUAUCAUUAUUUCACCGUGACCAGGUGGAAUAUCAGGGGCAAUCAACCCAUAAGAAUAUCUUCUGAGCCUGGGAGGUAAAGUGGAACGGAUUAUUUGCAGAAUCAAUGAAGGACAUCCUGUUCAAAAAAGUAAGUUCUAAUAAAGAAAGGCUUUGAAUUGGGUUCUGAUUCUGAGAGACUUGGAGGAUUUUUGCCCUUUUAUCUUUGUUGUGGAGCAGCACCGAGCUUCAGACAGCUUAUCUUGUGGACUAUAAGGUUCUGGAUGGUAUUUCAAGACUGAAUCUGCGUAGGCCCCUAUCCUCUCCCCUGGCAGAAAGCAGAUAUGUUCUUUGCCUCUGUUCCAGUAUGACCCCGGAAUAAGUGAGCUGUGAAUAAAGUCCCACUGGAGCUUUUCUAAAGGACUCCCUUGCUUCUCUGACAGUGUAUGGACAUCUGACAUUGGGUAGCAGACAAAAGACUGAAAAUAGGGAGAACCACAGCUGAAGAAGAGAGAGAAGAAUAGGCCAUGGCUGAGGGGAUGAUUGCUUCUC